This 71-nucleotide transfer RNA is filed under the name Tribonema minus. It matches the Rfam family "tRNA". From Rfam's summary of the family: Transfer RNA (tRNA) molecules are approximately 80 nucleotides in length. The record is from Rfam by way of RNAcentral. Lineage: Eukaryota; Xanthophyceae; Tribonematales; Tribonemataceae.
UCCGAAUUGGUCCAGUGGUAGGAUUUCUCAUUGUCGCUGAGACGGCCGGGGUUCGAUUCCCCGAUUCGGAG